UGCGUUCAAGCAACUACACAACCUGUUUUUUUUCUUUCGACACCAAAUCAUAAAACACACAAGUCGGCACCGCUCUCAUACUCCGCAACCACAUAUUAUUUUUUGUGUCAAUCCUCUUUCCCCCUCCUUCUGUGCGGCCCCCCCCGAGACCUUUUUACCCUUCUCUUCUUUUUUCCCAGUCUUCGUCUUUCUCUGUGGUGAAACUAUUGAGAGGCGGUAACCCAAAAUAUUCCCCCCCGGAGAAAACCCGCUAUGACCCCAGGGUUUUCCCCCCACCAUUUUUAGGGGGACACCAAAAGAAAAUCCCCAAGCUUACUCUCCCCCACCCGUUGGGGGAGCUUUUUCCCAUAAGGUGCACCCCCCCAGGGGGCCCCGGGGAUUCCCAUAUAGUAGUUUUUUUGGUCAUUUAGGAGGAAAAUUAAAAAGUUGUAACAAGGUUUCCCUAAGGGGAACCUGGGGGAAGGAACCUUAAAAGAAAAUUUUAAUUAUUUUGAAAAAUGGGAUUUUUUUUUGUUUUUGGCAAGAAGCAUGAGAACUUUUUACUGGGCAAGAAGACAAGAGAAGGAGAAGUCCAGCCCGGCCUUGCGCUUAAGUGCGCGGUCUUGGUAGGGCUUGUAAGUUUCUUUUCUUGCUAAUCCAAACGGUGAGAGAUUUCUGUGCUUUUUGUUAUAGGACAAUUAAAACCGUUUCAAUACAACACACUGUGGAGUUUUCAUAUCUUUGCAACUUUUUCUUUGGGCAUUCGAGCAAUCGGGGCCCAGAGGUAACAAACACAAACAAUUUUAUCUAUUCAUUAAAUUUUUGUCAAAAACAAGAAUUUUCGUAACUGGAAAUUUUAAAAUAUUAAAAACUUUCAACAACGGAUCUCUUGGUUCUCGCAUCGAUGAAGAACGCAGCGAAAUGCGAUACGUAAUGUGAAUUGCAGAAUUCCGUGAAUCAUCGAAUCUUUGAACGCACAUUGCGCCCCUUGGUAUUCCAGGGGGCAUGCCUGUUUGAGCGUCAUUUCCUUCUCAAACAUUCUGUUUGGUAGUGAGUGAUACUCUUUGGAGUUAACUUGAAAUUGCUGGCCUUUUCAUUGGAUGUUUUUUUUCCAAAGAGAGGUUUCUCUGCGUGCUUGAGGUAUAAUGCAAGUACGGUCGUUUUAGGUUUUACCAACUGCGGCUAAUCUUUUUUUAUACUGAGCGUAUUGGAACGUUAUCGAUAAGAAGAGAGCGUCUAGGCGAACAAUGUUCUUAAAGUUUGACCUCAAAUCAGGUAGGAGUACCCGCUGGACUAAAGCAUAUCAAUAAGCGGAGG
RNAcentral lists this ribosomal RNA (1296 nucleotides) under uncultured eukaryote. RNAcentral's name for it is "eukaryotic LSU rRNA". The stretch from base 849 to 1002 matches the Rfam family "5.8S ribosomal RNA". The record is from RNAcentral.